UUGGAAGUUAAGCAGGAUCGGGCCUGGUUAGUUCUUGGAUGGGAGACAGCCUGGGAAUACCAGGUGCUGUAAGAUU
Molecule: ribosomal RNA, 76 nt
Filed under: Coregonus artedi (cisco)
Lineage: Eukaryota; Metazoa; Chordata; Actinopteri; Salmoniformes; Salmonidae
Source: RNAcentral